Molecule: ribosomal RNA, 238 nt
Filed under: uncultured bacterium
Lineage: Bacteria
Description: partial 16S ribosomal RNA
Rfam family: Bacterial small subunit ribosomal RNA
Source: RNAcentral
CGGAACGGGUGAGUAACGCGUGAGGAACCUGCCUCAAAGAGGGGGACAACAGUUGGAAACGACUGCUAAUACCGCAUAAGCCCACGGCUCGGCAUCGAGCAGAGGGAAAAGGAGAGAUCCGCUUUGAGAUGGCCUCGCGUCCGAUUAGCUAGUUGGUGAGGUAACGGCCCACCAAGGCAACGAUCGGUAGCCGGACUGAGAGGUUGAACGGCCACAUUGGGACUGAGACACGGCCCAA